Molecule: long non-coding RNA, 684 nt
Filed under: Vigna radiata
Lineage: Eukaryota; Viridiplantae; Streptophyta; Magnoliopsida; Fabales; Fabaceae
Description: long non-coding RNA (VRAD_LNC013610)
Source: RNAcentral
GAACCUAGUUGCUUUCUUAUUAGUUUGUAGAAGCAGUGGUUGACCAAGUAGGGACUUUGGGGUGCUAUUUUCAAAUUUUAGUUUCCAAAAAUAAAAUUUANAACUGUAAUAGUAGUGAAAGUCAUUAAGACUUGGACUUAGAAGAUGUUGUUUGAUGGUUGAUGUUUCCUAUCUAGGAAGCUUGUAUUUGACUUUUCUUUAGAGUAUUUACUCGUUUGUUUUGUUUAAGAUAUCUGUGACUUUUUAUUGUAAUUAUGAAUGUCAUAAAGUUUGAGUAAACUNACUGUUGUUUAGAAUUUAUAUGUAUACUAUAUGGUAUGAACUAAAAAAAUGUUUCAAAAAAAGCAAUUUUGGGGUCAGCUGUAAUGUGCCACUUUUUGAGAUUUAAAAUGCUGAUAUGUUUCCUCUGUAUUCUUCUUUCUUUCGUUAUCUGUUUCUUUUAUGUUCUUUGUUGCUGGGUUCUUUAAUGAGGAGUUUGCUCCUCAUGUGAUAUCCCUAAAAUCUGCAGUGAAAUACCAGAUUCUAUUAGUUUUGUUAAUAAUACUAUUGUUGCUUGAUAUGGAGCUAAUUGUAUAAGUUGCCUAUGAGCUAAUGAAACAGAUCCCAUGACACCAACCUCUGUCGAGCAAACANAACAACAAACUUAGAAUGGAGUAAUGGGUUUGAUGUUUUUUUCCUUCCCUG